This 562-nucleotide unclassified non-coding RNA is filed under the name Hevea brasiliensis (rubber tree). Lineage: Eukaryota; Viridiplantae; Streptophyta; Magnoliopsida; Malpighiales; Euphorbiaceae. The record is from RNAcentral.
CAUAUGGGGUAGGUUCAGAUCUCCGGGUUGAGUUUGGUUGAGAAUGUCAACAGGAUGAAGGGGCUAUUUGACGGGUAUCUCGCUGGGUCCAAAUAGACAAACCAUAAGACAUGAGUGAGACGCCAAUGAGCUCUACCUCUCCCAUCCUCUGGCGACUACAGUGAAGAUCUAUUGCUUGAGUAUCCAUUGCCAGUUCUCUUGAGUUGCUUUUGCUUUUUCUAGCUUCUUCUUCCAAAACCUUGGGUUACGAUUAAAAAGGUCUCCUUUUAUUAGGCGUUCCAGCUGUGUUUUGCUCCUUGGUGCUUCAGUUGGUCUUCUUUCUUCUUCCGAUAAUAGUCCAGGCAACGUUUCGGUGAUAUCUGCUCCAUGUAGCACUUGUCGCGUGAAGGUGAAGUUUCCUUCAACUGGGACGAGUUUUUGGGUCUUACGCAAUCCCAGCUAAGGUUUUCCUUUUAUAGGUUAGGUCUUUGCAUGAGCUAGAAUUUUGGCCAUGGACCUCUAUUGUACUAGGCUUACAUGCUUCAAUCUUUAUGAGUUGAAGUGACAGCGUCAGGAGUAGUGG